AGAGAAGCGCAAACGGUGGAUGCCUUGGCAGUAAGAGGCGAAGAAGGACGUGGAAUCCUGCGAAAAGCUAUGGGGAGCUGGAAACGAGCGUUGAGCCAUAGAUGUCCGAAUGGGGGAACCCGGCUGCAGCGAUGCGGUCAUUUGCAUUUGAAUACAUAGGAUGCAAAGGCGAACUCGGGGAACUGAAACAUCUAAGUACCCGAAGGAAAAGAAAUCAAGAGAGAUUCUCCAAGUAGCGGCGAGCGAACGGGGAGGAGCCUGGCGUGAUUUAUUAUUGAACUGAGUAGAACAAUUUGGGAAAGUUGGCCGUAGAGGGUGAAAGCCCCGUAUACGAAGGUUUGAUGAGGAACUAGGCACGCGAACAAGUAGGCCGGGACACGUGAAAUCCUGGUUGAAGAUGGGUGGACCAUCAUCCAAGGCUAAAUACUACUUACUGACCGAUAGUGAACCAGUACCGUGAGGGAAAGGUGAAAAGAACCCCGGAGAGGGGAGUGAAAUAGAAUCUGAAACCG
RNAcentral lists this ribosomal RNA (512 nucleotides) under Legionella pneumophila subsp. pneumophila. RNAcentral's name for it is "partial 23S ribosomal RNA". It matches the Rfam family "Bacterial large subunit ribosomal RNA", at positions 13 to 558 of the family's 2925-position model. Lineage: Bacteria; Pseudomonadati; Pseudomonadota; Gammaproteobacteria; Legionellales; Legionellaceae. The record is from RNAcentral.